UUUAAAAUAAAACAUAAUAGUGGCGAGCAUUUGCCAAAAUAAUGCGCUUCACGCACAAUUAAUCUAAUAAAUUGUAAACAAAACAGUUCAGAUAUAAAACAGUUCAGAUAUAAAACAGUUUUAAAGCUAAACAAAAAACAUAAUAACAUUAAUUGUAACAAAGACAGCUCUAGGUAGGAUCACACAUCUUAAGUAAAGUGACUCAAAGAGGAUAUUUAUCAUGAAUAUGUUGCAAAAAAAGUAUAAAAAUCUGCCACAGAUUCUCUCUUUUGAAACCAUAGUAUUCUCUGUAUAUGGCUUCAUCAAGCCUGGACCAUUUUAAAUAACCCUGCAAUCCACAUACAAACUUUAACUUACGCUUGAUUCUGCUCCAAAACAAUUCAACAUGGUUUGUUGUCGCGUGUGUCAAAGGAUCUACAAAAUUUGUGGUAUGAUUCACAGUAAGAUGGUUAUAACCUAAAUUAUUUAACGUAUUGUAAGACGCCCAUUGAUCUGAAUAAAUUGUUGACCCGGGAUUACAAUUAACGGCACUAAUGUCUCAGCAGUUCGAUCAGGGACACGUCUUAAAUAACCUUUUUUUGAUGUUAAGUCAUAUGCGCCAAAAUCCAAUGUUUUUUCACAACGUGCCUAACAUUAUUUUUUCUUUUGAACAUUAACGACUCGUCAAUCUCAACUAUAUGACCAGGUCCACCUAACUGAACUGUAUUGGUAAGAUCAAUAAUUUUAAACGUAGUGACGUAUCUAAAAUAUUGAUACCACUGAUCAGAAGUUUUAGCACACCCCAGUGAAAAAUAAAACCGCGUCCCACAUGGGUUCUAUGUGGGUUCCGUGUGGGAUUCAUGGGAUUUAUAUGGGACGGAUUUUCCCAUGUGGUAUCCGUAUGGAAAUUUGCCACUUAAAACCCAUAUGGGUAAAUCCCACAUGGGUUACAUGUGGUAUUUACUCACAUGGGAUUUUCCCAUGUGGUAUCCGUAUGGAAUUUUGCCACUUUAAACCCAAAUGGGUAAUCCCACAUGGGUUACAUGUGGGAACCAUAUGGUAUUUACCCACAUGGGAAAUCCCACGUUUGUUUCUUGUGGGAUUUACAUGGGAUUUUAUUUGAAGGCUGGAAACUAAAAUAAUCUUAAAUGUUAAAAAUAACAAUACAUUACUUUCGCGGUGAAGUUACAUGCAUCUUGUUUCAGCAUAAAAAUAUCUAAAAUUAAUCUUACAAAAUGGCAAGCAAGUAUAUUCUCAUGAACGGAUACAAACUCUUGUCAAGUUAUCCAUAAUACAUUAGUCAUCGAAAUGCUUGAAGAAAGUAGUUUUUUCUAAUAUGGUAAAAACCUUAGCAUUGAGCGAGCCAAGGCAAUUUGCUUUGUUAAUUGAAUCGACAAAAGGCGUGUAAAUCACAAAAGAACAAAUAAUAUUUUUCACAUUUAUUUUUAAUGUAUUUAUUAAUAGCUAUUAUUUAAAUAAAAAUUCAUUUUGCAA
Molecule: long non-coding RNA, 1473 nt
Organism: Hydra vulgaris (swiftwater hydra)
Lineage: Eukaryota; Metazoa; Cnidaria; Hydrozoa; Anthoathecata; Hydridae
Source: RefSeq, a predicted model, not a curated record